RNAcentral lists this unclassified non-coding RNA (380 nucleotides) under fungal sp. Its description in RNAcentral is "partial internal transcribed spacer region". The stretch from base 1 to 46 matches the Rfam family "Eukaryotic small subunit ribosomal RNA", at positions 1786 to 1831 of the family's 1831-position model. Lineage: Eukaryota; Fungi. The record is from RNAcentral.
AAGUCGUAACAAGGUUUCCGUAGGUGAACCUGCGGAAGGAUCAUAACACGUAUCCAAACGUUAAAACACCCUGUGAACCUUCAGCGUGUUCUUGCAGGACAUCAAAACAGCAAUCCCGAGUAAAUCAGGCGCUAAAGAAUGACAGAUUUUGAUUUUGGGAAGUUCUGUGUGUACGUGGACGCUGCAAUUGAGCGCUAGAUAAAGCACUAGAGCACUCCCCUGUCUGAAAGCGGCAGGGAUCAAUGUUCAGGGUGGCGCAGUCAACGAUCGCUGUAGGUCCAACCGGCGACCGGGAUAAAGGCAAAAACCCCUCCGGGACUUGGCGAAAGCUGACUCCGUCAUAAAUCGAACAACUGUUAACAAUGGAUAUCUUGGUUCUC